AUUUGAUUAGAAUUUUAAUUAGUAUUUAGAAUUUGUCUAGAAUUUUGUUAGGAUUUAAGGUUUUUUUUGGAUUUGAUUAAGAUUUACUAGGAUUUGAUUUGGAUUUGAUAAGGAUUUGAUUAGGAUUCAUUAAGGUUGGUCUAGGAUUUAGGAUUUUAUUAGGAUUUGACCAAAUAUUUGAUUAAGGUUUAUUAGGAUUUUAAUUAGGAUUAAAUAAAAAUUUGAUCAAAUUUUAUUUUUUAUAUUUCUUUAAGGUUCUUUGUUUUUUCUUUUAAAAUUUAUAUUUCUAGUAUUUCUUUAAGAUUAUUUUUAUUUCU
RNAcentral lists this long non-coding RNA (317 nucleotides) under Physcomitrium patens. RNAcentral's name for it is "long non-coding RNA (PPAT_LNC014227)". The record is from RNAcentral. Lineage: Eukaryota; Viridiplantae; Streptophyta; Bryopsida; Funariales; Funariaceae.